Molecule: non-coding RNA, 294 nt
Organism: Cinara cedri
Lineage: Eukaryota; Metazoa; Arthropoda; Insecta; Hemiptera; Aphididae
Source: the annotation of a GenBank genome assembly
CCCUCCCCAGUAUGUUUACUAGUUUUUAAUCAAUUUUAGUGUAGCUACUGUAUAAUUUAUUGACUAAUGUGGUUGGAAACGUUUUUCCAAAUUCACUAUGAUUUUUUAAAAUUUAAAAUAUGUAUGAACUAACAAUUUUUUUUAAAGUUCUUUAAACCAUAAGUUACUUAUUAUUACAAAAUAUAACUUUUGUAUGAAAGGGAAUCAGCUACUGGUAAAUAAUUUUUAUGCGGGAAGUCUUUUUUAAAUCUACGUACAUUAUUGUGUACAUCUUGUACGGAUAAAAUAGGCAAA